GCGGGGCAGGCGGCGUGGACACGUACCAGGGGUGCCCCCCGGGCCGGGCAGAGGGCUCCACCCGCCCGCUCGACGGCCAGGCCGGCUCCCGAGGCCCGGCGGCCGGCUUGGGGACGCCCCCCCUUUGUCCGAGUAACGGCCCAGGGUGGGGCGGCGGCCGGCCGGAAGGAGGACGUCCCGGGCCGGGCUGCGCCGGGCCGAGGGAGGAGCCGCCCGGCGGCCGCGGGUCUGUGUGCCCGGUGGGCGGCCCGCGCGUGUGCGUACAUGUACAUGUGCGUUUCUAUUUACGCACGUACCGCGCUUGGCGUCAGCGGGCACAUCGAGGGUUGUGGGCAUGUGGUUUUAAGACUUUCAGUGUACUGUCCCUGCACUGUUUUUAUGCAGCAGAGGAAAGGCUGGUUUCUUAGGCCUCAGUUUCCACACCUGGACCUGGGGGGAGCCAGGUGAGUCAGCCUCUAAGGCCUAAAUGGCCAGGCCUCUGCCCCCUCCCCCCCUGCAGCCCCACCCAAAGGAAGCUCCCUGUUCCCCACCUCUCCAGCAGCCCUAAUCAACCCUGUUUGUCUCUUGGGUUGGAUGUGGUAAAACUUGCAAAACUGCAUUCAUGGCAGUUUGCUGGAGUCCCACUUGUACAUACAGGGCUCCCUCCCUGCCUGGGCUGGGCAGGCAGGUGUCCAGUGGGAAAUGGGCCCUGCCUGCAGGACUCUGAACCCAUCCUUCAGAGUCAGAGACCCAGGCUGUGUCUCUCAGCACAGAUUGAAUUGAAAAUAUAGCUUUGAAGAAUGCAGCAGCUGGGGAAAAACUGUCCACAGGAAUGUCAGGACCGCCCUGAAGACUGGGGAGCUUUAGUAGCCACUGGCAGCCCAGGGGUACAAGCACCUGUGCCCUUGAUUGUCAGUUUCACUGUCUGUAAAAUGGGGGCUACUUGGUUAUGAGCAAGUGGGCUGUGAAUCUCCAAGCCUCAGGCCUAGGCCUAGAAGUGAGGGGGUUCCUCAUGGUUAGCCCAUCCCCCUUUACAACCAGCCUCCACGGGUCACAUUCGUGUAUUUCUGGGUCACAUUCUCAGAUUCAGGUGUUAAUGGGAGCAGAGGCUGCAGAGGGAGGGGACCUCUGUCUAGCUGUGCAGAUGUUCUUAGUGGAGAACUCACGGUGGCCUGUGGGCUCCUGGGUUGGGGUUUGCAAAGUGAGCCUGGGCUGAGGGGCAUAGCUGAUGCUGCCAGGAAAAUGCUUGGAGACCCAGCCCCCAUACCUGAGUUCCCAUUCCAUUUGGGAACACCCAGAUACAGUGUCUCCAGGAAAUUCCCAAAAUAAUUCAUUUGAGUUUAAAAAAGAAAAAAAAAAAAGAAAAAACCCCAAGGGCAAGUCCUGGGACCCGGGCUCGGUUUCUGGGUGUGUUGGUAAGGGAAGACUACAAAGUCCACUGGGCAGCACAAGCUAGGGAGCAGGUCUACCAGGGAUGACUUCAGGUCCCAGCCAGGGACUUGGCAGUGCCUGGAGGACCCCUCACACACUUAAGGACCCCUCCCUUCCCUAGCACUUUCACAAGAACCACCAGCUCCCUUACUUCCCACAGGGACCUAAGGGAGGUGCAGUAAAUGCCAGCACCUCCCAUGAGGGCUCCCUGAAGCCACCCUGGAGUCCCUGCCACCCAUUUGGGGCAACCCAAGGGAUAUGCCUGGAAUCUCAGGCCAGGAUCCUAACUUCACUUCUGCCUUUUGUUAAUCUCAUGACCCCUAGCAAAGAAUUCCAUCCUCAGUUUCCCUAUCUGUAAAGCAAGUGAUUCCAGGCCAGCUUCUGUGGUAAUUGCCCCUUGCUUGAUGGAAUCCUGGUUGAAGAGGCAGCACCUUGCUUGGUGGGGUAAUGGUGUAGAGGGAGAAGGUAGGGUGUCAUGUGGCCAACAUGGAGUUGUCACGAGCUGUUGUUCCUGGCUGGCUUCAGUGCUAGGGCCACCCUCCUGCUCACCGCCUUGACAUUCCUAGGAAGGUUUGGGUGGGUGAGUAUAAAACCCAGACCCUCCCAUUUAAAUCCAGCUCCUCCCAACUGGAACAUGGUGGUUUGAAGAGGUCACUGUUGUUCAUCCUUGUGAUACAGAUGGAGACACUGAGGUCCAGACAGGGCAGAGCCAUGUGUUUAGCCAGAGGUGUAGUAGAGAGAGCCAAGAAGCAGGUCUCUUCCCUCAAGGCAUGAACUCAAGAUCUCCCUAAUUAAGAGGAAUAACAGACUCAGAAGAGUAGAGACUUGGGGCAGGGAUUUAGGUCAGUGGUUCCAGCGCCUGCCUCACAAGCGCAAGGUGCCGAGUUCAAUCCCCAGUACCAAAAAAAAAAAAAAAAAAA
This is a non-coding RNA of Heterocephalus glaber (naked mole-rat), 2330 nucleotides long. The record is from RefSeq and is a predicted model, not a curated record. NCBI's taxonomy places the organism in Eukaryota, Metazoa, Chordata, Mammalia, Rodentia, Bathyergidae.